Acanthosepion pharaonis is the source of this 86-nucleotide non-coding RNA. Lineage: Eukaryota; Metazoa; Mollusca; Cephalopoda; Sepiida; Sepiidae. The record is from the annotation of a GenBank genome assembly.
UUGAAACAUCAGUUCUCAUCUGAUCUCUGUAGUUAAGCAAUGUUGAGUCUGGUCAGUACGUAGAUGGUUGACUACUUGGGAAUCUU